Molecule: ribosomal RNA, 251 nt
Filed under: uncultured Lactobacillus sp.
Lineage: Bacteria; Bacillati; Bacillota; Bacilli; Lactobacillales; Lactobacillaceae
Description: partial 16S ribosomal RNA
Rfam family: Bacterial small subunit ribosomal RNA
Source: RNAcentral
AACACGUGGGGAACCUGCCCCAUAGUCUGGGAUACCACUUGGAAACAGGUGCUAAUACCGGAUAAGAAAGCGGAUCGCAUGAUCAGCUUUUAAAAGGCGGCGUAAGCUGUCGCUAUGGGAUGGCCCCGCGGUGCAUUAGCCAGUUGGUAAGGUAAAGGCUUACCAAGGCGAUGAUGCAUAGCCGAGUUGAGAGACUGAUCGGCCACAUUGGGACUGAGACACGGCCCAAACUCCUACGGGAGGCAGCAGCC